Molecule: RNA transcript, 1620 nt
Organism: Nannospalax galili (Upper Galilee mountains blind mole rat)
Lineage: Eukaryota; Metazoa; Chordata; Mammalia; Rodentia; Spalacidae
Gene: Erg28
Gene name: ergosterol biosynthesis 28 homolog
Exons: 8
Source: RefSeq, a predicted model, not a curated record
CUGAGGGCGGGGGCGGGGACAAGUGGCUCAGGUGGACUUCAGGCUCGAGCUGUCCUGGGGGAGCGCUGCUUUGCUGGUGCUGCUGCUGCUUGCUGCUGCUUAGCGCUGGGGGUCCGUCGCCAGGUAAAACGUCCUCUCAUCGAGGGGAGUCAUGAGCCGCUUCUUGAAUGUGUUACGAAGCUGGCUGGUUAUGGUGUCCAUCAUAGCCAUGGGGAACACGCUACAGAGCUUCCGGGAUCAUACUUUCCUCUAUGAAAAACUCUACACCGGCAAGCCAAACCUAGUGAAUGGUCUCCAAGCUCGUACCUUUGGGAUAUGGACACUGCUCUCCUCAGUGAUUCGCUGCCUGUGUGCCAUUGAUAUCCACAACAAGACGCUCUAUCACAUCACACUGUGGACAUUCCUCCUUGCCCUGGGACACUUCCUCUCAGAGUUGUUUGUAUUUGGAACUGCAGCUCCUACAGUUGGUGUUCUGGCACCCCUGAUGGUGGCAAGUUUCUCAAUCCUGGGUAUGCUAGUCGGGCUCCGGUACCUAGAAGCCAAACCAGUAUCCAGACAGAAGAAGAGAAACUGAGUCCAGCCUUGCCACCUCUAAGAAGUCAUCACCUUCCCCCUUUGCCAUUUUCAUUCUUCAUCCUCUGCCCUUCCAUUGCUUCUUCUUGGCUCUAGCCUUAGUUCUUUCAUCCAAUUUCAGCAUCUUAAGCUUUUGGGGUUUUUUAACAUUUUUUAAUAUUUUAAGAUAUUCGUAUAGAAAAAUUAUGUAUCAUAUAUGUAUGAUUUAAAGUAAUUUUGACAAUGUUCUGUGACUCCUUCCAAGUCAAGGAGCCCUCAGAACCAUGUGUCCUCCCCACAGCUGCAGCAUCCUCCUUCAGGCCUCCUUUCCAGUCUUCUGUUUUGUUUUCUUUUCCAUUCCUUGAUUUGACUUGUGUGGUGAGAACAUGAGAACUGUGAAACUUCAAGCUGCUGCCCACCCAGAGCAGCUGUGACCAAGGGCUGCUUCAAGGGGUUGUCCACACACACUGGGCUCCUCUCUGCUGCUGGACCCAAGACUCUGAACCAUCCAACGGACAGGCAGUUCUUCUGAGAAGGGCUCCCUUCCGUGUGAGCAGGACCGUGGCUCCUCUCUUGUCUACAGAGCCCCACCCCACCUCCUGCCCCCAGGCCCAGGAAAAGAAAGUGAUAGCUUUUGGCUUCUUCGUGUCUACGGUAGUGAACAGGACAAAGACCCAGAUUCUAAGUUCACAGCUCAACAGUCAUGGCCCUUUCCCAUUUUCUUCCUAAAGAAGAAACAGUCUUGAGAACAGAUACAGAAAGUAGAAUGAAGCAACCUAGGAGAAACAGCUGCCUAGCCAUGAAAAGAAGCCCCCAGACACCAGGAUCAUGCUUCAGAGUAGAUAUUCAUCUCCUGUACACUGCCUGGAGGCCUUCAUUGCUGGGCCACAUACUGUAUACUCAGCAUGUCUCUCAUGUCAACAAAUACCAGAUAAUUUUGCAAGCAUUCUCCACAAGAAAAGAAAGGGAUGAGAGAGGGCAAGAGACCAAGCAAGAAAGGACUCCAAUACCCUCCACCAGCCUCUCCCAACACCAGCCCCGUGACCUAAUGGGGAAAGGGCAGGAAUC